This 497-nucleotide ribosomal RNA is filed under the name uncultured bacterium. Its description in RNAcentral is "partial 16S ribosomal RNA". It matches the Rfam family "Bacterial small subunit ribosomal RNA", at positions 28 to 507 of the family's 1533-position model. The record is from RNAcentral.
GAUGAACGCUGGCGGCGUGCCUAAUACAUGCAAGUUGAGCGAUGAAACUUGGUGCUUGCACCAAUUUGAAGAGCAGCGGACGGGUGAGUAACACGUGGGUAAUCUACCUUUAAGCGUGGGACAACAUUUGGAAACCAAUGCUAAUACCGCAUAACAACUUUAAACAUAAGUUUUAAUUGUGAAAGAUGCAAUUGCAUCACUCAAAAAUUAUCCCCCGGUGUAUUAGCUAAGUGGUGAGGUAAAGGCUCACCAAAGCCAUGAUACAUAACCGAACUUGAAGGGUGAUUGGCCCACAUGGGAAUGAGACACCGCUCCAAAUCCUAAGGGAGGGAACAGUAGGGAAUUCUCGGCCAUGGAGGAAAGUCCUGACGGGGCAAGGCCGGUGAGUGGAGAAGGUUCUCGGAUCCUAAAAACCUGUUUGUAGAGAAGAAAGAUAGGGGGAGUUGAAAGCGCAUGAAGUGACGGUACCUAAUCAGAAAGCGACGGCUAACUACGUG